CUCCUCCUUGUGCGCCAGCUCCGACUCCUCCAGCACCCUCCGUUGCGCCGUCUCCUUCUUCAGGAACUCGAUUUCCUUUUGCUGGUACUCCUUGAUGAGCCGCUUGGCCUUGCUGUACUUGCGCUCCAGGGUCUGGUACUGGGCCUGCGUCUCCUUCAGGUGCUCAUCCACCGCCUGGCACAGGUUCUGUGCCUCCAUCCAGUACCCCUCCAGCUUCUCCAUGCGCUCCUUGUUCUCCUCCACGCUCUGCUCCAGCUGGGCCUUCUCGGCCCGCCACCGUGCCUUCUCC
RNAcentral lists this long non-coding RNA (289 nucleotides) under Gallus gallus (chicken). Lineage: Eukaryota; Metazoa; Chordata; Aves; Galliformes; Phasianidae. The record is from RNAcentral.